CUACGGGAGGCAGCAGUGGGGAAUAUUGGACAAUGGGCGAAAGCCUGAUCCAGCCAUGCCGCGUGUGUGAAGAAGGUCUUCGGAUUGUAAAGCACUUUAAGUUGGGAGGAAGGGCAGUAAGCUAAUACCUUGCUGUUUUGACGUUACCGACAGAAUAAGCACCGGCUAACUUCGUGCCAGCAGCCGCGGUAAUACGAAGGGUGCAAGCGUUAAUCGGAAUUACUGGGCGUAAAGCGCGCGUAGGUGGUUUGAUAAGUUGGAUGUGAAAGCCCCGGGCUCAACCUGGGAAUUGCAUCCAAAACUGUCUGACUAGAGUAUGGCAGAGGGUGGUGGAAUUUCCUGUGUAGCGGUGAAAUGCGUAGAUAUAGGAAGGAACACCAGUGGCGAAGGCGACCACCUGGGCUAAUACUGACACCUGAAGGUGCGAAAGCUUGGGGAGCAAACAGGAUUAGAUACCCUGGUAGUCC
This 467-nucleotide ribosomal RNA is filed under the name Stutzerimonas stutzeri. RNAcentral describes it as "bacterial SSU rRNA". It matches the Rfam family "Bacterial small subunit ribosomal RNA", at positions 339 to 796 of the family's 1533-position model. Lineage: Bacteria; Pseudomonadati; Pseudomonadota; Gammaproteobacteria; Pseudomonadales; Pseudomonadaceae. The record is from RNAcentral.